GGCCAUAGGUUAGUCGACUUAUCUGUGACUGAGUCGACUCGCUUGGGACUGAGUCGACUCACAGAGGUAUUGAGUCGACUCAUCUGCAUGUUGGCCAGACAUCCCGAAAAUAUCUAUUUCUGUCUGGCUCCUUCUCUGAGACAUAGUGACCCACUCUGAGACUGGGUCGACUCACUUUGAACUUAGUCGAUCCAGUCUCAGAGUGAGUCGACUAAGAUGC
RNAcentral lists this long non-coding RNA (220 nucleotides) under Elaeis guineensis (African oil palm). RNAcentral's name for it is "long non-coding RNA (EGUI_LNC040077)". Lineage: Eukaryota; Viridiplantae; Streptophyta; Magnoliopsida; Arecales; Arecaceae. The record is from RNAcentral.